RNAcentral lists this ribosomal RNA (419 nucleotides) under uncultured bacterium. RNAcentral's name for it is "bacterial SSU rRNA". It matches the Rfam family "Bacterial small subunit ribosomal RNA", at positions 28 to 443 of the family's 1533-position model. The record is from RNAcentral.
GAUGAACGCUAGCGGCAGGCUUAAUACAUGCAAGUCGUGGGCAGCAUGAGUAGCAAUACUUGAUGGCGACCGGCAAACGGGUGAGGAACACGUACACAACCUUCCUUCAAGCGGGGAAUAGGCCCAAGAGAAAUUUGGAUUAAUACCCCAUAAAUAUAUUUGAUAAGGCAUCUUAUUAAUAUUAAAGGCUUCGGCACUAGAUGAUGGGUGUGCGGCUGAUUAGAUAGUUGCGGGUAAGGCCACCAAGUCUACGAUCAGUAGCUGAUGUGAGAGCAUGAUCAGCCACACGGGCACUGAGACACGGGCCCGACUCCUACGGGGAGGCAGCAGUAAGGAUAUGGACAAUGGAACGAAGUCUGAUCCAGCCAUGCCGCGUGAAGGAUUAAGGUCCUCGUGGAUUGUAAACUUCUUUAUAUGGG